RNAcentral lists this ribosomal RNA (433 nucleotides) under uncultured bacterium. RNAcentral's name for it is "partial 16S ribosomal RNA". It matches the Rfam family "Bacterial small subunit ribosomal RNA", at positions 29 to 507 of the family's 1533-position model. The record is from RNAcentral.
AACGAACGCUGGCGGCAUGCCUAACACAUGCAAGUCGAACGAAACCUUCGGGUCUAGUGGCGCACGGGUGCGUAACGCGUGGGAACCUGCCCUUAGGUUCGGAAUAACUCCCCGAAAGGGGUGCUAAUACCGGAUAAUGUCUUCGGACCAAAGAUUUAUCGCCUUUGGAUGGGCCCGCGUUGGAUUAGCUAGUUGGUAGGGUAAAAGCCUACCAAGGCGACGAUCCAUAGCUGGUCUGAGAGGAUGAUCAGCCACACUGGGACUGAGACACGGCCCAGACUCCUACGGGAGGCAGCAGUGGGGAAUAUUGGACAAGGGGCGAAAGCCUGAUCCAGCAAUGCCGCGUGAGUGAUGAAGGCCUUAGGGUUGUAAAGCUCUUUUACCCGGGAUGAUAAUGACAGUACCGGGAGAAUAAGCUCCGGCUAACUCCGUG